UGGGGAAUAUUGCGCAAUGGGCGAAAGCCUGACGCAGCGACGCCGCGUGGAGGAUGACGGUUUUCGGAUUGUAAACUCCUGUUAAGUGGGAAGAAAAGGCUACUUCUAAUACAAGUAGAUUAUGACGGUACCACUAGAGAAAGCACCGGCUAACUUCGUGCCAGCAGCCGCGGUAAUACGAGGGGUGCAAGCGUUAUUCGGAAUUAUUGGGCGUAAAGGGUGCGUAGACGGUCUGUUAAGUCUGUUGUUAAAUUUUCCGGCCCAACCGGAGAGCUGCAAUGGAAACUGGCGAACUAGAGGGUGAGAGAGAGAAGUGGAAUUCCCGGAGUAGCGGUAAAAUGCGUAGAUCUCGGGAGGAACACCGAUGGCGAAGGCAGCUUCUUGGCUCAUUCCUGACGUUGAUGCACGAAAGCGUGGGGAGCAAACAG
This 428-nucleotide ribosomal RNA is filed under the name uncultured bacterium. Its description in RNAcentral is "bacterial SSU rRNA". It matches the Rfam family "Bacterial small subunit ribosomal RNA", at positions 355 to 775 of the family's 1533-position model. The record is from RNAcentral.